CAGUGGCGUAGCCAGGGUUGAAAUGAUGUGGAUGCCUUCGCCGAGCGGAGCGAGGCGAAUUUUUUUUUAGACUAUUUUAUGAGAUUUUUUUCGGCCCCCAGACAUUGUUCCUGUAAGCACAUGUACUCCCCUAGAAUCCGACACUGGUUAGAUUUUUGUUUGAUUUCAAAAUACCAACCAAUUCAUAUAAUUAUAUUUCAAACAAAAUUUUAAUGUUUUCUCAAAAUUCUCGAAAUUGAAUGUAAUUCAUAAUUUAUUUAUUUGAUGUAAAAGUUUCCCACCAAUCUUAUAUUUGACAUCUCAAAAACGGCCCCAUCACAGCGGCACUUCUGUAUAAAGGAACUGAAGUGUUCCCCUUUCCUAACCCGAAUAAUUCAGUCUUUAUAUUCCGCUGAUCUACGAAGGCUACAUUAACUCUUGUGGGAGAAAAUCGGACACGGAAAGGGCUUGAAUUAUUCGAGUUACCCCUUUUCUAGCAUUUCUCAAAAAACGGCCCCAUCACAGCGGCACUUCGGAAUACAGGAACUGAAGUGAUUCCAUUAACGCGUCGCAGGGGACAUCAUCGAAAUUCCUGGUGUCCGUCAAUCCGGCCUUGUUUGCACUCUCAUGUGUACAAUUCUUGCCAGGUUUUUAUAUCAUCAGCAAUGAC
Molecule: long non-coding RNA, 649 nt
Filed under: Mytilus galloprovincialis (Mediterranean mussel)
Lineage: Eukaryota; Metazoa; Mollusca; Bivalvia; Mytilida; Mytilidae
Source: RNAcentral